GACAGAGGCCCCAAGCGUUAGGCGGAAUCACUGGGCGUAAAGCGUGUGUAGGCGGACGCCUAAGUGUCUUGUGAAAUCCCACGGCUCACCCGUGGAACUGCUGGGCAUACUGUGCGUCUUGGGCCAACUAGGGGCAGCCGGAACAAGCGGUGGAGCGGUGAAAUGCGUAGAUAUCGCUUGGAACGCCGAAGGUGAAAACAGGCUGCUGGGGUUGUGCCGACGCUGAGACACGAAAGCCAGGGGAGCAAACGGG
Molecule: ribosomal RNA, 253 nt
Filed under: uncultured bacterium
Lineage: Bacteria
Description: partial 16S ribosomal RNA
Rfam family: Bacterial small subunit ribosomal RNA
Source: RNAcentral